GCGCCCAUAGCUCAAUUGGAUAGAGCAUCUGACUACGAAUCAGAAGGUUGGAGAUUCGACUUCUUCUGGGCGCACCA
RNAcentral lists this transfer RNA (77 nucleotides) under Kurthia sibirica. Its description in RNAcentral is "tRNA-Arg". It matches the Rfam family "tRNA". From Rfam's summary of the family: Transfer RNA (tRNA) molecules are approximately 80 nucleotides in length. Lineage: Bacteria; Bacillati; Bacillota; Bacilli; Caryophanales; Caryophanaceae. The record is from RNAcentral.